RNAcentral lists this transfer RNA (95 nucleotides) under Ipomoea nil (Japanese morning glory). It matches the Rfam family "tRNA". From Rfam's summary of the family: Transfer RNA (tRNA) molecules are approximately 80 nucleotides in length. Their secondary structure includes four short double-helical elements and three loops (D, anti-codon, and T loops). Further hydrogen bonds mediate the characteristic L-shaped molecular structure. tRNAs have two regions of fundamental functional importance: the anti-codon, which is responsible for specific mRNA codon recognition, and the 3' end, to which the tRNAs corresponding amino acid is attached (by aminoacyl-tRNA synthetases). tRNAs cope with the degeneracy of the genetic code in two manners: having more than one tRNA (with a specific anti-codon) for a particular amino acid; and 'wobble' base-pairing, i.e. permitting non-standard base-pairing at the 3rd anti-codon position. Lineage: Eukaryota; Viridiplantae; Streptophyta; Magnoliopsida; Solanales; Convolvulaceae. The record is from Rfam by way of RNAcentral.
UGGGGUGUAGCUCAUUUGGUAGAGCGCUCGCUUCGCAUGCGAGAGGAUGUCUUAACCAGACACCUAUACAUUUAUAUAUGGUCAAUACACUCCAA